Molecule: long non-coding RNA, 4199 nt
Organism: Canis lupus familiaris (dog)
Lineage: Eukaryota; Metazoa; Chordata; Mammalia; Carnivora; Canidae
Exons: 2
Source: RefSeq, a predicted model, not a curated record
AGGACGCUACCCGCGUGGACGCGGCCGCCUCCUGCCCCGGUUCCCGCUGAGCUCCGGCAGGGCCGUGGCGGCCACGGAAAAGGCAAGCCGGGUCGCUAUCCCGGCGCCCGAGUCCCGGGGCCGCUGCGGGGGAGUCUGCCCUCCGCCUCCCCAAACGCCCCAGAUCCCGAGACACGGCCCAGACUCCUGGUAACUUCGCAGACGCUCAGGGUCGGCCUGCGCCGCGAUCCACAGGCCGGCUUGCACAGCCCCUCCUCUCUGUCCUCUCUCGGCUCUGGUCCCUGCUCCCACACCGGCCACCCUCUAGUUUGGAAACCGAAUUUCGCCUUGCGUCCUGCGGGCCGACAGGACGCAGACGUAACCCUGCAAAUGCCCUGCAGGGAUUGCUUCCCGCCUCGGCUGCAGCAUCUGUGAAGUGGCGCCCCACUUCCCCGCGCCCCUCUCGCUGGCUUCUGCGGGUGGGUCGGAGACCCGACGGACUGUUGGGAACCCCGGCGGGACUAGCGCAGCCCACCCCCUGGGGCCGUUUGCCGGCCGAGGCCCCGAGGCGGUACCCAGACUGGAAGGGCCCCGGCCUGUCCCGCGGUGCAUCCCGCGUCCCCUCCAGGGCUCGGUGGAGGGGGUGAGGAUCCAGCCCCGCCGGCUGGGCGGCUCCUCUCCACCCCUGCACGUUCCUCCGCGCCGCGAUGCAGGGAGGCUGAACACCCCAGCCGCCCUACUGUCGGGCCGUACCACCGGGCUCCCCAAACCCCGUGGAGGGCGGAUCCGGGGCUGCAGGGGCGAGGACGGGCGGCAGAGGCCUUAGUCCCAGGGCUUGCAGUGUCCAGCUCCCCAGCCCUCCUUCCCUUCUGCAUCCUGGACGAAGCUACAGUGAAGGAACGCCGGAGGCCCAGAUGGCAGGAACACACCUGCACCCAGCACAGACCCAUGCACCCACUGCAGCCCAGGCCAGUGAAGAGACCUCACUGAGGAUCCACUGUGUGCCAGGCCUGUGCUAGGGUGAAGAGGGCAGGGUCCUGGCUGUGAGCAGCUCUUCAUUUAUGGGACAGACCCCCUCACCCCCAGGAGAGCCACAGAAUUAGGAUGGGAGUUCAGGGUGGAGAGCUCCAAAGGGUUUGGGCACAUGGCCUUCCCUGUUCCCCUCCAGGCCUAGAUCUAGAAGACAGUCCAGGUGGAGGGUGAAGACAAAACUUUAGGGAGUCAGACCCAACUUCUUCCUGACUCCCUCCUUCCGGUCCUUCCCUGCUAUCAGCCCCCAGCUUACUGAGCACCCUGAAUUCAUAAUGUGUAGUAUGGGGGAAAACAAGCAGGGUAUUGUGGAGACAACUGCAUGCAGAUGAGGGCUGGCACUUCCUGGGGGGGAUCUCGGUUGUUGGAGCUGUCAUUGGUAGGGAUCCCUGCGCCCUCUAACUCCUCCUCAUCCAGAACCCAGGUCAGUCUAGGAGCUCUGAGUUGGGGUCACAGAAAGCAGCUGCUCACUCCCUGGCUAGACACAGAGGGCAAGUCAGACCAGGAAGAACAGGGCUCCUGGGGACUUCAGAUCCCAUCACCCAUGCAGGUCUUAUUGGGCUCCCAGAGCCAGGCCCCACCCUCUCAAUCUUGACCUGCCCUAGUCUCACCUGGUCUCCUAGCAUUGGUGAUCAGUGCUUCCCCCCUCCCCCCAGGUCUACUCCUCCUCUCCAGGAGGCCGAGGCUCUGGGAUCACACUGCAGCAAUCUUGUAUACACUGACAUAUGGCCAGAGGCCCCUCUAUAAGGUGGAGUGCUCCUGGAACUGGCUGUCCUGUAGUACUGGUAAAUACAGGGCCUAUUUCCCCUCAGCAGACCUGCAGUUCCAGGGCAUCUUGUGCCUCUACAAAGCCACAGGGCUGGCCCAAGUUUGGGAGCCUUCAUGAAUAAAAGAAUGAGUCAGUAAUGAAUGAAGAGCACUGAGUGAGAAGGAAGUGAUCUUUAGAUCUGAUUUCAGCCCCGAAGACCAGAGGCAAUGGGGGGAGCGGUGAUCUUACUGGACAUCACAGUGGAGGCAGCAGCCCUGCACUGAGCACCUGAGUCUUAGUGACCUGUCCUUCACCUAUCCCGACUUGCAAAGGGCUGCCCUGCUUCAGCAGCCUGAUCCAGUCCCACGUGAUGGGGACACAGCAGUGAGCAAGCCACCCAGGUCCCUAGCUGCAUGCUGGAAAAGGCAGCUAGCUUGCUCAAGGGGGCCUCUGCGGGAUGAUGGGGGCAGAGGGUGAUGGCAGAAAGAGAAACUUGGUCUAUCUGUGGGGCUCUCUGGCUUGCAGUGGUGGAACACAGGUGGUCUGGGCUCCCGUGCCAGGCAGGAUGCUGGCCUCUGCCCCACAGCUGGCCUCUGCUGUGUCACGGCACUGUGUGGCCCUCACAAUGAUCCCGUGUGGUAGGAACUAUAAUGGUUUGCACCUUACAAAUGGAAAACUGGUGCUUAGAGGUACAGGGACAUGUCAUCAAGGCAGGAGAGUGAGAUCCAUCUGUCUGACCACAAAGCCCUCCUCCAGUGACAUGCACAGCCAAGUGAUGGGCUCCAGGGUGUGUGCACAACAGAGCCACUGCUGCAGAGGGAUCUGUGUUUGGAGUGCCUUCUUGAGUUUCUUGGCAGUGCCAGGAGUGUGAGCCCCAGAGGGUGUGCUGGCAUCGCAGUCACCCACUUGCUCCCGACAACCGCCAGGAUAUUUGUUUGUGGGUGUCCAGAAAGACUGAGCCACUUGCGAUACGUAUUUCCUCUGAGUCCAGCCCUUGCUGGGAAGUCCAGGUCCCCUUCUCCUUCCCAACACAUACCUUCAAGGGCAGACACCCCAGAACUGUUCUUUGGCCCUCACUGGGACAGGCUCCACCAUGCCCCCUCCUCAGCCGGUGGCUUCACAGGCUCAGUUCAAGGCUAACAUGCCAAGCAAGUGAUGCUCAGUGUCGAGGCUUCUACCAAGGCAUUUCCAAUCAUAAAAAAAUAUGUGUCAGUUAAGUGUGUGUUGAGCCUGGACCACAUGGGACAUAGUUGUUCUAAUAAACACGAGUAAGCCAGUUUUCACAUUAGAGAAAUAACGGUUUCUAGCAGAAAUGUGGUGCUGUUAAAAGGGGUUAAUUAAUAAACAGCAGGUAAUUGUUCGUGGCACAUUGUGGCAGAGAGUAAUUUCCAUUUUAGAGGAUGGAAGGGCCAAAUACCCUCCCCACUCAGCAUUUUUGUGUAAUAAUCACCUUGGCUUCACCUCCGCCUUUAAUUUUUACAGCUGGAGCUGUUUACCAUCUUCCAACUUUCACUAAAAAGGAAAAACCAUCGCUUAAACAAAGCCAUUGAGAACUCAGCAUCGUAUGUGGAUUUCUUAACAUAAAUAAAUCAUACAAACCAAGAUUUAUGUUCUCCGAAUGAUGUCAUUCAUUGAAGGCUGCCUUCCCGAUCAGAUCAGCCUCUACCGAUUUCCUUGUGUGUGUGCGCGCCCUGCGCUUUCUGCAAAACAAGGGAGGCAGUGCUGGCCUCGGCCUCAACACUCCUGUCUCUCUGCUCAGCCCAGGACUCCAGCAAGGCCUGCCUACAUUCGCCCAGGUUCUUACCAUUUCAACCCCAUGAAUCGCUGUAAAGCUUUGCUUCUGAACAGUAAGUUCGGAGGCUGGAAGACUGUUCAAGCUUCCCGGGGAAUUUCUGCAGACCCCAGCAGGAGCUGAAGGUCCUUUGGCUUCUCCAGAGUCUCCAGUGACGCUGGCUACAGAGGAAUCACUUUGAAAUGAAUGAGGAACAGAAAAAAAACACCAUUAAUGGGGGAAUGAGAUAUGGUUUACCCUUACCAUGGAGGAAUCUAUGGUCAUAAAAAGGAACAAAGUCCUGCCACACGCUGCAACUUGAAUGAACUCAACAUCAUUCUCAGUGACAGGAGCUGGUCAUGAAAGGCCACGUGCUAUAUGAGUCCAUUUAUAUGAAAUAUCCAGGAUGGGCAAAUCCAUAGGGAGAGAAGUUGGAUGAGUGGUUGCCAGACGCUGGGGCAGGAGUAAGUGUGUGUUGGGGGGUGACUGCUCAUAAUAGAUAUGGGGCUCCUUCUACAUGUGAUGAAGAUGCUCUGGAACCAGCUGGUUGAGAUGGUUGUACAACACUGUGGAUGUAUAAAUACUACUGAGACGUUCACUUUAAAAUGGUCAAUGUUGUGAUAUGUGAAUUGUAUCUCAAUACACCUGGCAUUAAAAGAUCACCCCUGAGCA